RNAcentral lists this transfer RNA (85 nucleotides) under Methanomicrobiales archaeon. RNAcentral describes it as "tRNA-Leu". It matches the Rfam family "tRNA". From Rfam's summary of the family: Transfer RNA (tRNA) molecules are approximately 80 nucleotides in length. Their secondary structure includes four short double-helical elements and three loops (D, anti-codon, and T loops). The record is from RNAcentral. Lineage: Archaea; Methanobacteriati; Methanobacteriota; Methanomicrobia; Methanomicrobiales.
GCGAGGGUUGCCGAGCCAGGUCAAAGGCGCUGGAUUUAGGGUCCAGUUUCGCAGGAAUUCGGGGGUUCGAAUCCUCCCCCUCGCA